GGUCAGUGAUGAGUUGUAAAAGGUCUGAAGUCGAGAGCUCCGCCCCCUCCAGCUCCUCUGGUUCUCCCAGCCCACCUGCUCUGUUUCCCAGCAUGCUCUAGGUGUGUGUGUUGGGGCUGCAUGUGGGCUGAUACUGAAAGCUGUUCUUCUCUGUGUGCGUGUGAGAGAAACACAGCAUGACACACAGUAGACACAUCUGACAAACUUUCACAUUCUCACUUCAUCACACACACACACGCACACAGGAGGGCUGAGCUUCAGGGGGCGAGCGGCUCAUGAUCUCCAGUUUUCAAUCUGAGACC
This is a non-coding RNA of Neoarius graeffei (lesser salmon catfish), 302 nucleotides long. RefSeq annotates it as small Cajal body-specific RNA 6. The record is from RefSeq and is a predicted model, not a curated record. Lineage: Eukaryota; Metazoa; Chordata; Actinopteri; Siluriformes; Ariidae. The transcript has a single exon.